UCAGACGAUGCGUCAUGCAUAUCAAUAAGCGGAGGAAAAGAAACUAACAAGGAUUCCCUUAGUAACGGCGAGUGAAGCGGGAAGAGCUCAAAUUUGAAAUCUUCAAGGUUUUACCUUGACGAAUUGUAGUUUAAAGAAGUGUUUUCUGUUGAAGUUUUGGUAAAAGUUCAUUGGAAUAGGACAUCAUAGAGGGUGAGAAUCCCGUAUUUGACCAUUAUUUUCAGCUGUGUGAUACACUUUCAAAGAGUCGGAUUGUUUGGGAAUGCAGUCCAAAAUGGGUGGUAAAUUUCAUUUAAAGCUAAAUAUUGGCGAGAGACCGAUAGCGAACAAGUACCGUGAGGGAAAGAUGAAAAGAACUUUGAAAAGAGAGUUAAAGCAGUACGUGAAAUUGUCAAAAGGGAAGCGUUUGACACCAGUGUUGUUUUCUCGAAAAUCAAUUAAAAAGAGUUAGAUUUUGUUGUGUAUUGACCUUAACAGCUUGCAUUUCAAUUUUCUUGCUUUUUUUAAUGCACUUUUCGUUUAACAAGUCAACAUCAGUUUCUUUUGUUGUAAAAGGGUCAUUGGAAGGUGGCUUUCUUUUCGGAGAAAGUGUUUAUAGCCUUUGGCCUCUGCAAUCGGAAGAGACUGAGGUCUGCAGCGUAGACUCUUCGGGGUUAGAUACAUUUGUGCUAAGUUAUAGCUUUUUAUAGACAACUUGUUGACUAUGAUUAGUCUUGUAGCUUACUCGCUUAUGCUAUUUUACCUACGCUUAGGAUGUUGAGUCGUAGAGCACGCA
This 775-nucleotide ribosomal RNA is filed under the name uncultured Neocallimastigales. RNAcentral's name for it is "partial large subunit ribosomal RNA". It matches the Rfam family "Eukaryotic large subunit ribosomal RNA", at positions 18 to 605 of the family's 3401-position model. Lineage: Eukaryota; Fungi; Neocallimastigomycota; Neocallimastigomycetes; Neocallimastigales. The record is from RNAcentral.